This is a long non-coding RNA of Sinocyclocheilus anshuiensis, 4496 nucleotides long. Ensembl lists it as uncharacterized. Lineage: Eukaryota; Metazoa; Chordata; Actinopteri; Cypriniformes; Cyprinidae. The record is from Ensembl.
GUCAAGCAGGAAUUCCUGCUUGCCAACAUCCAUUGAUUUAAUCAGUGUAAGUGCGAAUGUGCCAUAACUCAUUGAAGUAAACACCAUGACUUAUCAUUUGAGCACUUAUACAUGUGUAUGUUUCAGAGAUCAUUGUAAGCCUAAUGAUACAUGGGGCAACUUUUUGAGCAGUUUUGCUGGGCAACUUUUUUUGAGCAAUGUUGUUUGGGCACUUUUCCAUUGAGAAUGGGUAACAAAUUUCUAUCUAGAUCAUUUAGAUCGGUCGUGGUCCCUGUGUCUCAGCUGGUUGCCUGUUGAUGGCAACAUUGCUCAAAAAGUUGCCCCGUGUAUCAUCAGCCUAAGUGUGUAAAUAUCUAUGUGAGACCCUAUUAUAUGUGUUUCAGGUGAUGGUCAUGAGGACAAACACAGAGUGUCUGCUGCUGAUGGACCAUACUAUGAAACACAAUCUGCUCAGCUCUGUGUGAGUGAGGAGGGCUCUAGUGGAGAGAGGGGGGCCGUCUCAUACCCCCCAUCACCAAACUGCCGCAUUCGUGAAGUGCACUGUGGAAAUCAAGUGCGACUGAUUGUCAUAGCGAUCCGCGACAUCGCAAAGGGGGAGGAGAUCACUGUGGAUUACAGUUUGACCGAGUGGGGAGAAAACGCUAUGGGUUUCCAUGGCACUGUGCCUCCUAGUAGCUUUGAUUGCAGCUUGGACCAUGAGAGCAACAUUAAGAAGGAGGAAGAGUCCGGCCCAGUUCCACUUUCUGCAUCAGAAUACCUCACACCUUCCUGGUCUCUCUCUCCUUCCUCUUCUCCUCUGUCUCACUCUGAGCCCAGUGAUUCAGACCUCGACUCGGAUGAUGCCAAUGGAGAGAAGCGCAUGCGAUCACUUCACCGCCGCAAGAGGCACAAAGCUCUGUCCUCUUCUGUUGCACAUGCUAAAAGAAAAGCACUUCAGCGACCCACCAGCCAUCCUCCCCCUUUUCCACACUCCCUCCCGUCCUCCACACUGCAGCCCACUGCUCCCUCCAGACCUGUGUUUAAGUGCCCGCCGCCUGCAGGAGUUGCUGCUAAUAGUGUCAAUGUGUCAGUGGGUCGUGGGCAGAGCACCAUGGCACAGAAACAGCGCUGUGUUUACUGUGGCCGUCAUUUCCGAUCUCUCCCACGGCAUCUGGAAAAACACCACGCCCACCAGCCGGACGUGCGCUCUGCCCUGGAGCAAGCGCGCACCCCUGGUGACCCUCCUUGUGUCCAACCGUGUCUCCCAUCAUCGAGCAAACAGUCCCAAUGCCUACAAGUGGCUCCUGUGCCAGGUGUGGUGGUGGUAACACCACAGUCACCUCCUGCUUCUUCUUUGUCUCCAGUCGGAAGGAGCCCUGCCCUCUCUAGCCCUACUCGCAAAAGUCCUGCCCCAGCGACUCCUCCCAGAAGAGGAGGUGUUCCCGUGUCUGUCUUAAAGAGGAGCCCACCUACUCCUGCUACUCCUCCGAGAAAAGGAGGACAAAAAAUGAAAAAGGAUAAAGAGGAGGUAGACAUUUUUGAGAAGAUGAAAGAAGAGGAACUGCCCACUCCAGUCUUUGUGGAUAUUGUUAAGGAGUCAGAACCUUCAAAAGAAGAAAGAGAGGACAAUGGAGGGAGAGAAGAAGAAGAAAGCGGAGCAGAGGAUAAGACCGACCUAUCAAGUUCGCGUCGUCCCCACAUGCUCCCACUUCUUUCCUCCCUUUCCUCCCUGGUGUUGUACCUGCGGCGGCUGCAGCACUCUGCCUUUAUUUCUCUCUCCCGUUCACCUGAGUCGGCCGAGGCAUGGCGUCUCCUCUGUCACUCCAGCCUGGCCCUUCUCAUCCUUUACAAUCGCCGCCGUGAAUGUGAAGUCUCCAAACUGACAAUCUCAGAGUACCAGGCCCGAGUCGCAUCCCAGUGCCCCAUCCCUGUGCAACCUGGUGCCCCGUUAACUCUAACCCCACUGGAGGCUGCACUCUCACCCUUCGAGCGGAUGGUCCUCCCUCAUCUCCCUCGUGUCGGGGUCCAAGGGAAGCGUGGCCGCGUACAGCCGCUCAUCCUCCCCCCACACUCAGAAGCCUGUCUGGAGAUGCUUUUGCAGACUCGUGCCGGUGUGGGAAUCGAUCCACAGAACCCCUAUGUGUUUGCCAGGCCGUAUCAUUCGCCAGCUACUCCCCUGCGAGGAACAGACUUACUACGUAGUUUGGCUCGGUCCAGUGGUUCGCAGCACCCCCGGGCACUGACGCAGACACGCGUUCGCAGACAGGUGGCGAUACUUACACAGCUGCUGUUGUUAAGUGAGGGUGAGGAGGAAGGACAGCACGGGGCUGCCAUACAUCGAUUGGAAAGCUUCUUGCAGAAGGAGUAUCACGUGACUCAAAGCUGUGCAACCAUCGGCCAGGACCCUGGGCUGAUGGGUCUGAUCGGUCGGGUGGUACUAUGUGGAGAGAGAGAUGGUGUCUUGUUCCGAGGAAUGAGUUUACAUCACAUCUGUCUGGAGUUAGAUGUGUUGUCAGGAAACUCUGCCGACUCGCUGUCAGAGGACUCAGAUGUUGAGCAGAGUAAAGAGAAACCAGAAGCAGCAUCUCCUGCAACCACCAUUGUGAUGAAAAAAACCACAAGCAACAGCAAAUCUCCCCGGCCCAAGAAGAUGAACAGCAGCUCCCUGCUCUCAGCGGGACGCAAAAAGGCCUCAGGACAGCCCAAACCUGGUAAACGUGGUGUGCUGAAGCGGCCUUGGUCUGAGGCAGAGCGGGCAGCUGUUGAGACCCACCUGGUGCAAAACAUCAUAGAGCUGCGAGUGCCGGCUAAAGCGGAAUGUGAGCGCUGCCUGGAGCUCUGCCCCCUGCUGGUCACCAACCACCGGGACUGGAGGGCUGUGAAAUUCUACUGCCACAACCGUAUACAGCUGCUCAAGAAAACCCAGCAGAGACAGGGUCCACCCGCCCUGUCCAUCUGCUGAGGCUGUGAAUCAGCGCGCUGCUCGGAAGGGUCAGAUGUGUAAGGGAGGGGAUGUGAGGGAAAAUAUUGACAUGGUACAGUCACAGUAAACACAGUACAAAUGCUUUAAUUAAUAUGAUGUUGUGUGUGAUUUGUGUCCGGUGUGUAAAACGGAAAAUGGUACCAGUCUGGGAAGCAGACGGAAAUGCACACUUGUUGCAAUUUUUCUGUCUGCAGAUGACCAGUAAGUGUUUGUGUUGCUGGCUUAAAAGUAGAUGACCAUUUUUGACCAGCUGUAAGUCUGAAUGGCUUUGCUCUCUCCCUUUGGCCAUGCCUCUAUCUCUCCAAUGACAGAGAAACAGGCAGACUGAGCAACUUGUGCCUUGAUGGGAGUCAAACCUCAGUUUCAUUCACAUUUGAGAACAUUUUACUGUUAUUUACUAAUUUCAUAAUUUUUCAUGAAAUGAAGGAAUAUGCAUAAGAAAUGGGAUUUAACAAAAGAAGGUCCAUUUUUGGUCCUACCAUCUUUGCUCAUUAAAAUGUUUUAAAAAGUCCCUUCGAAAACCAACCUGAAUUGAAACAUUUAAUUGAAAGUUUCUUUGUUCCAUAAAACCCACUUUUGUUCCUACCAUUUUAAGCCUUAUGUGAUUUUAAUUACAUGGUUCUGUCCUCAUUUACAGUAUUCUUGUUGUCAAACCAGUAUGACUUUCCUUGUUCAGUAGAACACUCAGUAGAAAUUUGAAUGAUUUUUGAAUGCUCUUGUCUUUUGCCAUUCCAAAUGCAAAUAAAAAUAUAAUAUGGCAUCAAUCUAGUGCGCAGAUUCAUAUGAAUGACAUUUAUGGCAUUUUUGAUGUUUGUGCAUUAUUAAUCGUAAUUACAUGAACAAAAAUGACCAGAACUUUCUUCAGAAUUCCUACAUUUGUGUUCCAUGGAAGAAAGUCAUACAGGUUUGUAAGAACAUGUGAGGGAGGAUUUAUUUUUGGGUUCUUUUCAUUAAUUUCAAUCCAUUGAAGUUAGCGGUUUGGUACUGUAGCUUGUUCAGCAUUGAAAAAUAAGCACCUAUCUGUCCUGUGCUGUAGAAGUGGACAUGAAUGAGUGAGCAGAUGAGUUUAGUUCACUUGUUUGCAUUGUAUUCAUCCAUCAAAUCCAUAUGGAAAUUUAAACUGUGUAUUGGAAACACAUGAUAACCACACGUAACACCUCAGUUUAUACUUUUUAUAUAUCCAUCUACUUGGCUGUUUUGUUAUCCUUUGUUUUUUCAAACUUUGCAAUGUAUAUAUGUACACACACAUAUAUGUUGUCGUUACUGUUAACAGUGGUAUUGUUAUUACUAUUAAAUCUUAUUGUGGUAAGUGUUCCAUUUCCACUUUAUGUGCAUACUGAAUGUAAAUAUUUGCAGAAAAAAAAAAGAGCACGAUGUUAAUACACCGUAGGCAAGACAAGCUUGUUUUUGUGUUGUCUGUGUGUUUUUUAAGUUGUCUGAAAUGAUAAUAAUAAAAAUGUUUUGUUUGUAAUUCUAGACUUGGUCUUAUUUGCGCUGCUUUUAUAGAAAAUGCAGAAUAACAGCAAAAAAAAAU